Molecule: ribosomal RNA, 468 nt
Filed under: uncultured bacterium
Lineage: Bacteria
Description: partial 16S ribosomal RNA
Rfam family: Bacterial small subunit ribosomal RNA
Source: RNAcentral
GACGAACGCUGGCGGCGUGCUUAACACAUGCAAGUCGAACGGAAAGGCCCUGCUUUUGGGGUGUGCUCGAGGGGCGAACGGGAGAGUAACACGGGAGUAACCCGCCCUUGACUUGGGGAUAACUGCAGGAAACGGGGGCUAAUAGGCGAUAGGACCUCCUGCUGCAUGGGGGGGGUUGGAAAGUUUCGGCGGUUGGGGAGGUACGGGCGGCUUAUCAGCUGGUGGGGGGGGUAGUGGCUUACCAAGGACUGGAGGGGUGGCCGGCCUGGGAGGGUGACCGGCCACAUUGGGACGGGGAUACGGCCAGGCCUCCACGGGGAGGCAGCAGUGGGGAAUAUUGCACAAGGGGCGGAGGCCGAGUGAAGCACCGCCGCGUGGGGGAUGCCGGCCUUCGGGUUGUAACCCGUUUUCGCCUGGGACGAAGCGUGAGUGACGGUAAUGGGUAAAGAAGCACCGGCUAACUACGUG